RNAcentral lists this ribosomal RNA (271 nucleotides) under uncultured prokaryote. Its description in RNAcentral is "partial 16S ribosomal RNA". It matches the Rfam family "Bacterial small subunit ribosomal RNA", at positions 524 to 796 of the family's 1533-position model. The record is from RNAcentral.
UACGGAGGGUGCAAGCGUUAUCCGGAUUCACUGGGUUUAAAGGGUGCGUAGGAGGGCAGGUAAGUCAGUGGUGAAAUCUCCGGGCUCAACUCGGAAACUGCCGUUGAUACUAUCUGUCUUGAAUAUUGUGGAGGUGAGCGGAAUAUGUCAUGUAGCGGUGAAAUGCUUAGAUAUGACAUAGAACACCAAUUGCGAAGGCAGCUCGCUACACAUAUAUUGACUCUGAGGCACGAAAGCGUGGGGAUCAAACAGGAUUAGAAACCUUUAGUCC